Acanthopagrus latus (yellowfin seabream) is the source of this 1459-nucleotide long non-coding RNA. RefSeq lists it as uncharacterized. The record is from RefSeq and is a predicted model, not a curated record. The transcript is spliced from 3 exons. Lineage: Eukaryota; Metazoa; Chordata; Actinopteri; Spariformes; Sparidae.
CUCAGCUGCCCCCCGCGUCUCAACACCCCCAAACAGCCUGGUGAAGUUCAAGGUCUCUGCGGCCAGUGACCAUCAACAGACCGGGGAGGACACAGACAGUCUGGACGCCUCUCAGUCGGUCCCAAACACUCCACUGGAGGUUCAGUUUUAGGGAAGCUCGGGCUUUUAAAAGAUUCCAGCACCGAUUUGCUGUGAGAAGUUGUCCAAAGUCGUGUCCUCUCAGGGGUAUCUGGGGGAUGAAAUCAUGCUGGAGAAGUCCACAGAAGCUCAUAUGGAAAUAUGCAUAACAUUUAAAACAGCUCAACUCUAUACUAAAGGGAACCCAAACUUUUUUAUUCUUCUGAACAAAUGAUCAAAAACAGACCAAACUGGCUUGAAAAAGGAGGCGAAGAGAAAGAAGAAACAACUUGAAUAAGAAGAAAAUACAGGAUAAAGAUGCAGACUAACAAAGAUGAAGGAGGAGAAGAAGAAGGAGAGGAAGGAGAAGUCGAGGUUAUGGAGCAACAGGAUCAGAUCCAUGGAUGCAGUCAGGGGAUGAUAGGUGGUCCCAGGUGUCUGUAAUGACAUCAGAGAGAGAGAUCCUGCAUCUGCAUCGUGCAGCAGAUCCUGUUUCCUCAGAAAGUCUCUUCACGAGAGACAGGUCACGGCCAAUAGCCUCUGUCUGACACGUAAUUGGUGGUAUUGAUUAUAGGUUAUCGUAUGCUGCGGGCCAUUUGUAAGAUAAUGCUGCAGGGGUUAAUUUGUCAGCCAUUAACCUUUUGGACUGGUUGGACGUGUGUGUGUGUAAAUUAAGUUUCAAACAACUUGUAAAUGGGUCACCUAGCCUCAUCUAAUAAAUGCUAAACAUAUUUAAGGUACAUUACAAUACAACACUGUGCAUGAUGACAGUUUAAGCACAUUUGACAGGUGGGCACUCGAGCAGUAAAAGGUUAAGAUUUCUUAAAAGUCUCUCAUGUGUUAUCCAAAUUAACCCCCCAUCCCCCCCCCCCCCACACACACACACACACACAUACACGCACACACACACACACAGCCACAUGCCCCCCAAGGCUUCCAGAGCAGCACCAAGCAGAAAUUCUUGCGCUGAACCUUUAGAAAAAAAUAUCUCAUCACCUAAAAAUGAAUGUGACAUUUUACAGGAAACACCUUUUCCUCUUUGCUUUAUAUCUGUGAAGUUGCUGCUCGCCUACAGGACUCUGAAAGUUGAUCCAGUCUGUCAAUCAGAACUAAUGGUCAAGGUCUAAACUUGAAAAACAAGCCACACAGUGACUAAAUGUGAUAUCCAUGUUAUAUUCCUCUACAAAGUCAUGCGGAUAUGAUAAAUCUGUCCAAAACAAAGUCUGUCACUGUAUCAAUGGAUGCACUCUGACUUUAAAAGUCAUAAGACAUUUUUAAGUUUUUGCUGUAAUAUCUGGUAAAUGUGACCUGUUCUAACAUUCCUGCCUUUACAAAAAUAAAU